AGGACUAACGCUGGCGGCGUGCCUAACACAUGCAAGUCGAACGAGGGUAGGCAAUACCCUAGUGGCAGACGGGUGAGUAACACGUAGUCAACCUACCUCUUAGUGGGGGAGUAACUAAUCGAAAGGUUAGCUAAUACCGCAUACGAUCGUCGAGGGGCAUCUCUUGACGAUGAAAGGAGCAAUCCGCUUAGAGACGGGACUGCGUCCCAUUAGUUAGUUGGUGGGGUAACGGCCUACCAAGACAUCGAUGGGUAGCUGGCUUGAGAGAGCGACCAGCCACACUGGAACUGAGACACGGUCCAGACUCCUACGGGAGGCAGCAGUGAGGAAUUUUUCCGCAAUGGGGGAAACCCUGACGGAGCGACGCCGCGUGUGGGAAGAAGGCCUUCGGGUCGUAAACCACUGUCGAAGGGGACGAUAUUGACGGUACCCUUGGAGGAAGCCCCGGCUAACUACCGUGCCAGCAGCCGC
RNAcentral lists this ribosomal RNA (471 nucleotides) under uncultured bacterium. Its description in RNAcentral is "SSU rRNA". It matches the Rfam family "Bacterial small subunit ribosomal RNA", at positions 26 to 518 of the family's 1533-position model. The record is from RNAcentral.